Molecule: ribosomal RNA, 406 nt
Filed under: uncultured bacterium
Lineage: Bacteria
Description: partial 16S ribosomal RNA
Rfam family: Bacterial small subunit ribosomal RNA
Source: RNAcentral
GAUGAACGCUAGCUACAGGCUUAACACAUGCAAGUCGAGGGACCGGCGCACGGGAGAGUAACACGUAUACAACCUGCCCUUUACUCGGUGAUAGCCUUUCGAAAGAAAGAUUAAUCCCCGAUAUCACGGAUGGGGAUGCGUUCCAUUAGGUUGUUGGUGAGGUAACGGCUCACCAAGCCUUCGAUGGCUAGGGGUUCUGAGAGUAAGGGCCCCCACAUUGAAACGGAGACCCGGACCAAACUCCUACGGGAGGCAGCAGUGAGGAAUAUUGGUCAAUGGGCGGUAGCCUGAACCAGCCAAGUAGCGUGAAGGAUGAAGGCUUAUGGGUCGUAAACUUCUUUUAUAUAAGAAUAUGUAUUAUAUGAAUAAGGAUCGGCUAACUCCGUGCCAGCAGCCGCGGUAAUAC